Molecule: ribosomal RNA, 496 nt
Filed under: uncultured bacterium
Lineage: Bacteria
Description: bacterial SSU rRNA
Rfam family: Bacterial small subunit ribosomal RNA
Source: RNAcentral
AAAUGAAUAGACGGGGACCCGCACAAGCAGCGGAGCAUGUGGUUUAAUUCGAUGCAACGCGAAGAACCUUACCAGGGCUUGACAUCCCCCGGACCGAACUAGAGAUAGUUCCUUCCCUUCGGGGACUGGGGAGACAGGUGGUGCAUGGUUGUCGUCAGCUCGUGUCGUGAGAUGUUGGGUUAAGUCCCGCAACGAGCGCAACCCUUGUCUUUAGUUGCAAACAGUUAGGCUGUGCACUCUAAAGAGACUGCCGAUGACAAAUCGGAGGAAGGUGGGGAUGACGUCAAAUCAUCAUGCCCUUUAUGUCCUGGGCUACACACGUGCUACAAUGGUCGGUACAACGGGCAGCCACUUAGUGAUAAGGAGCUAAUCCCACAAAACCGAUCCCAGUUCGGAUUGUAGGCUGCAACUCGCCUACAUGAAGCCGGAGUUGCUAGUAAUCGCGGAUCAGAAUGCCGCGGUGAAUGCGUUCCCGGGUCUUGUACACACCGCCCGU